RNAcentral lists this ribosomal RNA (408 nucleotides) under uncultured bacterium. Its description in RNAcentral is "bacterial SSU rRNA". It matches the Rfam family "Bacterial small subunit ribosomal RNA", at positions 32 to 416 of the family's 1533-position model. The record is from RNAcentral.
AAUCAACGCUGGCGGCGUGCCUCAGACAUGCAAGUCGAACGCGAAAGUCCCCUUCGGGGGACAAGUAGAGUGGCGCACGGGUGAGUAACACGUGGGUAAUUUACCUUCGGGUGGGGAAGUAACAGUCGGAAACGACUGCUAAUACCGCAUGAUGCAGCGGCACCACAUGGUGACAGUUGUUAAAGCGGGGGAGUCGCAAGACCUCGCGCCUGAAGAGAAGCCCGCGGCAGAUUAGCUAGUUGGUAAGGUAAUGGCUUACCAAGGCAACGAUCUGUAGCCGGCCUGAGAGGGCGGUCGGCCACACUGACACUGAAUAAACGGGUCAGACUCCUACGGGAGGCAGCAGUCGGGAAUUUUGGGCAAUGGGCGCAAGCCUGACCCAGCAACGCCGCGUGAAGGAUAGAAGUA